RNAcentral lists this microRNA (21 nucleotides) under Alligator mississippiensis (American alligator). Its description in RNAcentral is "ami-miR-146c-3p". Its record names the gene ami-miR-146c-3p. Lineage: Eukaryota; Metazoa; Chordata; Crocodylia; Alligatoridae. The record is from miRBase by way of RNAcentral.
GUCCAUAGUAGUCAGUUCUCU